This is a non-coding RNA of Trichonephila clavata, 84 nucleotides long. NCBI's taxonomy places the organism in Eukaryota, Metazoa, Arthropoda, Arachnida, Araneae, Nephilidae. The record is from the annotation of a GenBank genome assembly.
GCAGUCGUGGCCGAGUGGUUAAGGCGAUGGACUCGAAAUCCAUUGGGGUCUCCCCGCGCAGGUUCGAAUCCUGUCGGCUUAGUU